RNAcentral lists this ribosomal RNA (521 nucleotides) under uncultured bacterium. RNAcentral's name for it is "bacterial SSU rRNA". It matches the Rfam family "Bacterial small subunit ribosomal RNA", at positions 24 to 518 of the family's 1533-position model. The record is from RNAcentral.
UCAGGACGAACGCUGGCGGCGUGCCUAAUACAUGCAAGUCGAACGGUCUUUCUAUGGAAGCUUGCUCCACUGAGAAGAUAGUGGCGAACGGGUGAGUAACACGUGGGUAACCUGCCCAUAAGAGGGGGGAUAACAUCCGGAAACGGGUGCUAAUACCGCAUAGUUUUCUUGAUCGCAUGAUUGAGAAAGGAAAGACGGCCUUUGUGCUGUCGCUUAUGGAUGGACCCGCGGCGUAUUAGUUAGUUGGUGAGGUAACGGCUCACCAAGACGAUGAUACGUAGCCGACCUGAGAGGGUGAUCGGCCACAUUGGGACUGAGACACGGCCCAAACUCCUACGGGAGGCAGCAGUAGGGAAUCUUCCGCAAUGGACGAAAGUCUGACGGAGCAACGCCGCGUGAGUGAAAGAAGGUUUUCGGAUCGUAAAACUCUGUUGUCAGAGAAGAACAAGUUGGAGAGUAACUGCUCCAGCCUUGACGGUAUCUGACCAGAAAGCCACGGCUAACUACGUGCCAGCCGCGGC